RNAcentral lists this ribosomal RNA (497 nucleotides) under uncultured bacterium. Its description in RNAcentral is "partial 16S ribosomal RNA". It matches the Rfam family "Bacterial small subunit ribosomal RNA", at positions 28 to 507 of the family's 1533-position model. The record is from RNAcentral.
GAUGAACGCUGGCGGCGUGCCUAAUACAUGCCAGUCGAGCGAACAGACGAGGAGCUUGCUCCUCUGACGUUAGCGGCGGACGGGUGAGUAACACGUGGAUAACCUACCUAUAAGACUGGGAUAACUUCGGGAAACCGGAUCUAAUACCGGAUAAUAUAUUGAACCGCAUGGUUCAAUAGUGAAAGACGGUUUUGCUGUCACUUAUAGAUGGAUCCGCGCCGCAUUAGCUAGUUGGUAAGGUAACGGCUUACCAAGGCGACGAUGCGUAGCCGACCUGAGAGGGUGAUCGGCCACACUGGAACUGAGACACGGUCCAGACUCCUACGGGAGGCAGCAGUAGGGAAUCUUCCGCAAUGGGCGAAAGCCUGACGGAGCAACGCCGCGUGUGUGAUGAAGGUCUUCGGAUCGUAAAGCUCUGUUAUUAGGGAAGAACAAAUGUGUAAGUAACUAUGCACGUCUUGACGGUACCUAAUCAGAAAGCCACGGCUAACUACGUG